AUCCCUUGGGGCAUAUGCAGUAAAAUUGGAACGAUGCAGAGAAAAUUACAAUAGCCACUGCACGAGGUUGACAUGCAUAGAUCAAGAAAUGGUCCAAAUUUAA
This is a small nuclear RNA of Argentina anserina (silverweed cinquefoil), 103 nucleotides long. Lineage: Eukaryota; Viridiplantae; Streptophyta; Magnoliopsida; Rosales; Rosaceae. The record is from RefSeq and is a predicted model, not a curated record.